CAGUUGCAGCCGUCUUCAGAGACAGUUGGCAGUUGGGCAGCAGCCAUCUUACAGGGACUCAGAGCAGCAACUUGGCGCAGAGGCAGCUGCUAGUGUGUGAGUGGUGUACAGCUUAUGUAAAGCCAGUUUUGAUUCCCGUAACCAGAGCUCAUCAUUGUAGCAGCCAAUCAGUAAUACCAGCCUCCUGUGGGGAUCUCACUGCUUCUGAUAGUGCUGGCUGACAGGCAUUUGACAGAACAGAACAGUGGUGGGCUCUACUAACUGUGUAGCUGGAAACUAGGCCACGCAGCCUACCCUCCCUUUUGAAGGACAGUCAUGGAGGUAGCCCUGCUUUGGAGUAACAGAUGGCAGGAGGAGCAGAGACAGUGUCUUGCUGCAGCUGCAGACAGAGGUCAGCUUAUGAUGGUUAAUUGAGGCCAACCUAACCCUUUUAACACAGGAGACACAUCCAUGCAGGCAAUGGCUCCUGACUCCUUAUGUCACACCCACAUCAGGUCCGCAAUCUAAUUACAAUGCCACGUUUAUAUCCACCAAGCAGGUUAUAGAGUGACGUUUUGGCUUUUUAAAGGGAUUAUUCUGAUGUCUACACUGGACUGGUGGUGACCACAUGUAUGCGCCAGAAAUGGUUUCUAAGAUUAUUCUCCUGUGUGGUGGGUUCCAUAACAUGGCCAUAAGAAGUCAGGUGCCUUACCAACAAGAAGACCUGUUGCCCUAAGAUGAGGAGGUAGGGGCAGUGGAUGCAGAAGGCAGAGGACAAUCCUUCUGAGACAAGGAAGUUGGCAAAAAUUUCAGGAGGCGGGUGCUGCAGCUGAUUCUCAACAUUCAGCACCUGACUCAUGACACUGCUGAGGAGGCAGCAUUUUAGCGUCAAUCCUUCACAGGCUGAAAUCCGGGUGCACCCCACACCUCCCAAAAACCCCUUCUGAUGCCACUGCAACACAAUGAUAAAUAAUGUUUUCUAAAUACUUAAUUUCCAAAAAUGUGUUUUUGUAAAUCAAAAAAUAUACAGUAGCCAGCUGUGAUGUUGGUAAAGAAAGUACAGGCACUGACAAUCAGUGUCAAUGUGUUUUUUUUUUUUAGAAACCAUUGAAAUCAUUUAUAAUAUUACAUUUCAAACCUUGCUUGUCAACAUGAGCUAGUGGCUUAUCCCCUUUUGAAUCUGAAAUUCUGCAAACAAACAUUAUGUAAUAAUCAUUGCAUUUCAUUGUAUGUGUUGCCAUGUCAGAAAUGUGUUAUUUAAAAAAUUUCUAUUUUUUUUUUUACUUGACAUUUUCUUAAUAUAAAAGCACUUCUACCUAACAUUGGAGAAAUGUUUGCAAUUUCAAAUGAAAUUAAAUCUGAAUAUACAGUAUAGCAAUGUCAA
Pseudophryne corroboree (corroboree frog) is the source of this 1363-nucleotide long non-coding RNA. RefSeq lists it as uncharacterized. The transcript has 3 exons. NCBI's taxonomy places the organism in Eukaryota, Metazoa, Chordata, Amphibia, Anura, Myobatrachidae. The record is from RefSeq and is a predicted model, not a curated record.